RNAcentral lists this ribosomal RNA (266 nucleotides) under uncultured bacterium. Its description in RNAcentral is "partial 16S ribosomal RNA". It matches the Rfam family "Bacterial small subunit ribosomal RNA", at positions 333 to 615 of the family's 1533-position model. The record is from RNAcentral.
UGCGUCCUACGGGGCGCAGCAGUGGGGGAUAUUGCACAAUGGAGGGAACUCUGAUGCAGCGACGCCGCGUGAGGGAAGAAGGUUUUCGGAUUGUAAACCUCUGUCUUCGGUGACGAAACGAGACGGUAGCCGAGGAGGAAGCCACGGCUAACUACGUGCCAGCAGCCGCGGUAAUACGUAGGUGGCAAGCAUUGUCCGGAAUUACUGGGUGUAAAGGGAGCGUAGGCGGGAAAGCAAGUUGAAUGGUUAAGGUACGGGCUCAACCU